AUAUUGUGGUUCCCAGUGAAAGUCGAUCGAAUACCGAUGAAAACUUAUAAUUUAGGCGCCAUACAUCUAAGAUUGUUCUUGUAGUUGUUGGUGUUGUUGUUCAGCUCCAGGCCGACUCAGAAGACGCAGACCUAUGAACAAAGACUUUCAAGCUGAUUGGAAACAAUCCGAUUAUGUCUUCUCGACAUAUUGUAUUCUGGUCUACUUUAUUCAAUGCGAACUUCCUUUUGUAAGACGACACGUUGAUGGAACACUGGCUAGUAUUUUUAACUCGACCUGUGACUACACUGAAGAAAUGUCGUUUUGUUCAACUCAGGGAUUACAUCCUCUAUAUAUUCAUGUUGAUUUAAAAUUUGGCAAACUUUUAAUGUGAAUAAAUAAAUAAAAAA
This is a long non-coding RNA of Octopus sinensis (East Asian common octopus), 389 nucleotides long. RefSeq lists it as uncharacterized. NCBI's taxonomy places the organism in Eukaryota, Metazoa, Mollusca, Cephalopoda, Octopoda, Octopodidae. The transcript is spliced from 2 exons. The record is from RefSeq and is a predicted model, not a curated record.